This 327-nucleotide ribosomal RNA is filed under the name uncultured eukaryote. Its description in RNAcentral is "partial 18S ribosomal RNA". It matches the Rfam family "Eukaryotic small subunit ribosomal RNA", at positions 1470 to 1796 of the family's 1831-position model. The record is from RNAcentral.
CCCUUAGAUGGUCUGGGCGGCACGCGCGCUACAAUGAUGCAUUCAAAAAGUCUUCUGACCUUAGAAGGUUGGGUAUUCUCCAAAGUGCAUCGUGAUGGGAAUAGUUUAUUGCAAUUUUUAAUCUUGAACGAGGAAUUCCUAGUAAGUACAGGUCAUCAACUUGUGUUGAUUACGUCCCUGCCCUUUGUACACACCGCCCGUCGCUACUACCGAUUGAAUGGUUUAGUGAGAUCUUCGGAUUGGCGCCACUGCGGCUCAGCAAUGGGCUCGGUGGAUGCCGAAAAGUUGAUCAAACUUGAUCAUUUAGAGGAAGUAAAAGUCGUAACA